AUUGAACGCUGGCGGAAUGCUUUACACAUGCAAGUCGAACGGCAGCACGGGGGCAACCCUGGUGGCGAGUGGCGAACGGGUGAGUAAUACAUCGGAACGUGCCCAGUCGUGGGGGAUAACGUAGCGAAAGUUACGCUAAUACCGCAUACGAUCUACGGAUGAAAGCGGGGGACCGUAAGGCCUCGCGCGAUUGGAGCGGCCGAUGUCAGAUUAGGUAGCUGGUGAGGUAAAGGCUCACCAAGCCGACGAUCUGUAGCUGGUCUGAGAGGACGACCGCACACACUGGGCCUGAGACACGGCCCAGACUCCUACGGGAGGCAGCAGUGGGGAAUUUUGGACAAUGGGCGCAAGCCUGAUCCAGCCAUUCCGCGUGCAGGACGAAGGCCUUCGGGUUGUAAACUGCUUUUGUACGGAACGAAAAGGCUCUGGUUAAUACCUGGGGCUCAUGACGGUACCGUAAGAAUAAGCACCGGCUAACUACGUGCCAGCAGCCGCGGUAA
Molecule: ribosomal RNA, 500 nt
Filed under: uncultured bacterium
Lineage: Bacteria
Description: partial 16S ribosomal RNA
Rfam family: Bacterial small subunit ribosomal RNA
Source: RNAcentral